Molecule: ribosomal RNA, 676 nt
Filed under: uncultured bacterium
Lineage: Bacteria
Description: bacterial SSU rRNA
Rfam family: Bacterial small subunit ribosomal RNA
Source: RNAcentral
UCAGAUUGAACGCUGGCGGCAGGCCUAACACAUGCAAGUCGAGCGGUAACAUUUCUAGCUUGCUAGAAGAUGACGAGCGGCGGACGGGUGAGUAAUACUUGGGGAUCUGCCUGAUGGCGGGGGACAACCACUGGAAACGGUGGCUAAUACCGCAUAAUGCCUACGGGCCAAAGUGUGGGACCUUCGGGCCACAUGCCAUCAGAUGAACCCAAGCGAGAUUAGCUAGUUGGUGAGGUAACGGCUCACCAAGGCGACGAUCUCUAGCUGGUCUGAGAGGAUGAUCAGCCACACUGGGACUGAGACACGGCCCAGACUCCUACGGGAGGCAGCAGUGGGGAAUAUUGGACAAUGGGCGCAAGCCUGAUCCAGCCAUGCCGCGUGUGUGAAGAAGGCCUUCGGGUUGUAAAGCACUUUCAGUGGUGAGGAAGGCGUUGUAGUUAAUAGCUGCAACGAUUGACGUUAGCCACAGAGGAAGCACCGGCUAACUCCGUGCCAGCAGCCGCGGCAAUACGGAGGGUGCGAGCGUUAGUCGGAAUUACUGGGCGUAAAGCGCACGUAGGCGGUUUGUUAAGCAAGAUGUGAAAGCCCAGGGCUCAACCUUGGAAUUGCAUUUUGAACUGGCAAGCUAGAGUUUUGAAGAGGGUGGUAGAAUUUCCAGUGUAGCGGUGAAAUGCGU